GGAAUAUUGGUCAAUGGGCGCAAGCCUGAACCAGCCAUGCCGCGUGCAGGAAGAAUGCCCUCUGGGUUGUAAACUGCUUUUAUUUGGGAAUAAACCUUUCUACGUGUAGGAAGCUGAAGGUACCAAAUGAAUAAGCACCGGCUAACUCCGUGCCAGCAGCCGCGGUAAUACGGAGGGUGCAAGCGUUAUCCGGAAUCAUUGGGUUUAAAGGGUCCGCAGGCGGAUUUAUAAGUCAGUGGUGAAAGCCUACAGCUUAACUGUAGAACUGCCAUUGAUACUGUAAGUCUUGAAUUCGGUCGAAGUGGGCGGAAUGUGUAGUGUAGCGGUGAAAUGCAUAGAUAUUACACAGAACACCGAUAGCGAAGGCAGCUCACUAGGCCUGGAUUGACGCUCAGGGACGAAAGCGUGGGGAUCAAACAGGAUUAGAUACCCUGGUAGUCCACGCUGUAAACGAUGAUUACUCGUUUUCGGCGAUAUACAGUCGGAGACUAAGCGAAAGUGAUAAGUAAUCCACCUGGGGAGUACGAUCGCAAGGUUGAAACUCAAAGGAAUUGACGG
This 558-nucleotide ribosomal RNA is filed under the name uncultured bacterium. Its description in RNAcentral is "bacterial SSU rRNA". It matches the Rfam family "Bacterial small subunit ribosomal RNA", at positions 358 to 916 of the family's 1533-position model. The record is from RNAcentral.